This is a long non-coding RNA of Trifolium pratense (red clover), 578 nucleotides long. RefSeq lists it as uncharacterized. Lineage: Eukaryota; Viridiplantae; Streptophyta; Magnoliopsida; Fabales; Fabaceae. The transcript is spliced from 2 exons. The record is from RefSeq and is a predicted model, not a curated record.
UUAAGUGAAAAUGGCAUUGCAACAAUUAACCAGUGGAGUAAAUGGCUAUGAUUGAAAAAAGAUUUGGAGACGAAAAGAGCACUCUAUUGGAUGAAUUUGAGAGGCUCUCAUUUGAGGCGCACGCGGCACAGCUAAACAAAGCGAUGCUAAGGCGAAGCCUAUCUGAACCAAGGUUGCAAAGGUCACCGUCACGGCUCAUUAGCAUGGCUCCAAUACCUCUGAUGAAUAAGGUCAUGCAAGGGCCUCAUCAUGGAAAAGAGUGAGAGGAGGAAGAAAACAUGUCACAUCAGAUCCUAAGGAUAUUAUGCUUUGCAAGGAAUUCAGCAGAUCACUACGAUUAUGAUCAAUGCCUUGCCAAAGUAUUAUCAUUUAAUAUAUACUAUCUAUAUGUUCAUUGUUAUUCUUUUUUUAUUGAUAAUUGAACUAUCUAUAUGUUAAUGUUACUGUCAAGCUAAUAUAUGCUCUAAAAAGCUAUAGUAAUUUUUUUUUUUUGUUUUUGAAGAAGCCAAAGAAAUAUGCUAAAAAUGUAAUUUAUUUUUGUUCACAAAUAAAGUAUAGAGUGUCUACUCUAAAGACUA